Molecule: ribosomal RNA, 292 nt
Filed under: uncultured bacterium
Lineage: Bacteria
Description: partial 16S ribosomal RNA
Rfam family: Bacterial small subunit ribosomal RNA
Source: RNAcentral
UUUUCAGCCGCCGCGGUAAUACGGAGGGUGCGAGCGUUGUCCGGAAUCACUGGGCGUAAAGGGCGCGUAGGCGGUUCGGUAAGUUGCUGGUGAAAUCCCGGGGCUCAACUCCGGGGCUGCCGGCAAGACUGUCGGACUUGAGCACGGUAGAGGCAGAUGGAAUUCCCGGUGUAGCGGUGGAAUGCGUAGAUAUCGGGAAGAAUACCAGUGGCGAAGGCGUUCUGCUGGGCCGUUGCUGACGCUGAGGCGCGACAGCGUGGGGAGCAAACAGGAUUAGAAACCCGUGUAGUCC